This 257-nucleotide ribosomal RNA is filed under the name uncultured bacterium. Its description in RNAcentral is "partial 16S ribosomal RNA". It matches the Rfam family "Bacterial small subunit ribosomal RNA", at positions 524 to 776 of the family's 1533-position model. The record is from RNAcentral.
UACGGAGGGUGCGAGCGUUGUCCGGAAUCAUUGGGCGUAAAGGGCGCGUAGGUGGCUUCUCAAGCGUGCGGUGAAAGCCUGGGGCUCAACCCCGGGUCGGCCGUGCGAACUGGGGGGGCUUGAGCACUGUAGAGGCAGGCGGAAUUCCGGGUGUAGCGGUGGAAUGCGUAGAGAUCCGGGAAGAACACCGGUGGCGAAGGCGGCCUGCUGGGCAGUUUUGCUGACACUGAGGCGCGACAGCGUGGGGAGCAAACAGG